ACACACCAGCUCUGCUCCCUUGGUGAGUCUGGCCAGGCUGUGUCACCUCUCCAUGCCUCAGCGUCCUCAUCUGCAAAGUGAGUAACAACAGAAUCUACCUCGGAGAUGGAUUAGAUGGAGUACUGCAUGUGAAGCAUUGAGGCCAAGGAACCACCUCAUUGUGCGUGCUCCAGGAAGGUGUAAUUAAAAUGAGGUUAGACUGAAUUGGGGACUAGGGUGGGCCCUUCAUCCAAUACGUCUGAUGUCCUUGUAAGAAGAGAAGAGACACAGAGAUAGGCACACACAGAGAGAACACCAUGUGAAGACACAGAGGGAAGAAGGUCACGCUACAGAGGCAGAGAUUGGAGAGAUACAGCUGCAAGCCAAGGAACGCCACGGACUGCCAGCCACCACCAGAAGAUAGGAGAGAGGGCAUGGCUCUGCCGACACCUUGAUUUUGGACUUUUGGCCUCCAAAACUAGCUGGCACAUAGAGGGCAUUGGAUAUAUACUGCAUGAACAGAUGAAGAGAUGACUAAAGACCAGCACAAAGGGUGGACUCUAGGAGCGUUUUUACAGUCGCAACUGAAACUUUUACACAAAAAAAACGGGUGGACGGGAGCAACCACCUAAGCUAGGCUCGUAGGCCGGGUCCCGCGGAAGGAGCCUCACAAUGACCCCGUAACGGUGACUUGGCGAGUCACGGUCGCCGCGG
RNAcentral lists this long non-coding RNA (693 nucleotides) under Equus caballus (horse). RNAcentral's name for it is "lncRNA (ENSECAG00000049561.1)". Lineage: Eukaryota; Metazoa; Chordata; Mammalia; Perissodactyla; Equidae. The record is from RNAcentral.